UAAUACGUAGGAGGCGAGCGUUGUCCGGAAUCACUGGGUGUAAAGCGCGUGUAGGCGGCCUGCCAAGUCUGCUGUGAAAGCGCCUGGCUUAACCGGGCGAGGUCGGUGGAAACUGGCGGGCUGGAGGACGGUAGAGGGGGGUGGAAUUCCCGGUGUAGUGGUGAAAUGCGUAGAGAUCGGGAGGAACACCAGUGGCGAAGGCGGCCCCCUGGGCCGUUCCUGACGCUGAGACGCGAAGGCGCGGGGAGCGAACGGGAUUAGAUACCCCGGUAGUCCGCGCAGUAAACGAUGCAUGCUAGGUGUGGGGGGUAUCGAGCCCCUCCGUGCCGACGGUAACCCAAUAAGCAUGCCACCUGGGGAGUACGGCCGCAAGGUUA
This 377-nucleotide ribosomal RNA is filed under the name uncultured bacterium. RNAcentral's name for it is "bacterial SSU rRNA". It matches the Rfam family "Bacterial small subunit ribosomal RNA", at positions 521 to 896 of the family's 1533-position model. The record is from RNAcentral.